Rattus norvegicus (Norway rat) is the source of this 1680-nucleotide non-coding RNA. The record is from RefSeq and is a predicted model, not a curated record. Lineage: Eukaryota; Metazoa; Chordata; Mammalia; Rodentia; Muridae.
UGAUGAUGUCACUGAGAGAUGCCAUGGCCUACCUGCUAAACAGCUUUCCUUACAUUGAACAGAUUUGACCAUGCCUUUUCCAGACAUCAGUAAAGCAAAGGACCACAUGGAGUAUCGAAUUUGUUCUCUUGACCUUUUUGAUAUCAGUACUACAGUAUCAACCUUCCAGUGUCCCAGAUAACAGGGCCAGACAAAAACUGCACUAAAUGAAUGCAAAUCAUGGAGGAGUUUACUCUGAGCUGAAGACACAAUACCUGUCUUUCCCUUCUUCCUUAGAAACUUUUUCUUCUGUGUGAAAAAGAAUAAGAGUCAUGUGCUCUCAGGUAAACAACUAUGCCCUUCCUAACUCACGGAUUUUGUAAGAAAUUAAUGAUAUAAGCUCUCUGAUGUCCAGGAACCAUAACAAGCAUGGAAAUACAGAUGCUUCUGAGAGGCUCACAACUCCUAAUACCCAUAUGUGGAAGGCUCAGAUCAAGACUAUCUCUUCAGUGAAUUCACUCAAACCCAACGCAGGACUCACCAAGCUUUCCCAUAGACCAUGUAUUUCUUCCCUUUUUAUACAAAGACAGAAGGGCAGCUUCCUUUUCCCCAUCUCUGAUAUCAUCUUCCUCUUUGUUCUCCCUCCCAAAUGGCUGUUUACUCUGAAUUAGGAGCCAAUUACUAAACCCUAGGGGCACUGAAGGAAUAUCUGAAAGGCAGUUGCAGUCAGGACAACACUCGUGACAUCACAAAAGAAGCCAGGUCUCUGCAGGAUACAAGAGAUUUUUCAGGGAGGGCCUAAUGAUGAUAACACUGAGAAUUGCAAUGGCCUACCUGCUGAACUGCUAUAUUUACAUUGACCACAUUCGAGGGUGACCUUUACAAGAGAGUCUACUGUGACACAGGAGAAACCUUUAAAUACUACAUCUCUCUAAAACUAUAGAAUUCUCUUUGUUCAUUAUUGGUUACAUGCUCUGAAUAGAGAAAGAAAGGGCCUUGGUAUGGGUACAAAGGAUCUAGGAACAUGGAGUGGAAGAGAUUCUUCUGAAUAAUUAUUUUAUUCCCAGGUCCAUUCCUGUGCCGUACAAUUCAAUUUCCUGGUAUUUCUCUGUUUCCCAAGGGCCAGUAUUUUCCCUAUAGACCUUUAAUUGAAUGUAUAUUUUAUUACAUUUUCUUAUUGUACAUUCAUUGAUAGGGGACUUUAUAAUAUAACGUAAUAUGUACUCAUAAAUUCCGUUUUCCUUUUCAAUUUUUUUGCAAUGAUUUUGUCAACAAAGGUGGCACAGCUAUAGAAUGAAUAUAACAGUGUAGAUACUCUGUACCUACAUCAAAUGAUAAGCUCCCAAAUCCUUAUUUUAUCAUAAAUUAUGAGACAUCAGUAAAGCAAAGGACAACAUGUGCCAUAGAAUGUGGUUCUGUAGUCCCAUUAUAUGUCAGUUCUCUAAUAACUACCAUGCUGUUUUCCCAGUGCCAGACUUGAGGGUUUUGGAUAUUUUAUCAUGGUUUUACUUCAGACAAUACAUGAGAUUCAUUUGGAUGGGCAUGGAGAGUAAUGGCUUCAGGUCCAGGGACACCUCAACAUUACUAGUUUCAUAAGAACAGGAGGGAGUCUAUUUGGCAUUGUCAUUUGUGGAUUCUAAAUAAUUGAGCUUGUUUGUUCCAAAGAAUCAAUGUCAAAAUUAUACCUAAUCUCAUUUGUAG